This 110-nucleotide ribosomal RNA is filed under the name uncultured eukaryote. RNAcentral's name for it is "partial small subunit ribosomal RNA". It matches the Rfam family "Bacterial small subunit ribosomal RNA", at positions 1419 to 1525 of the family's 1533-position model. The record is from RNAcentral.
ACCCGAAAUCAUUUUAGCCAACCUGAAAAGGAGGCGAAUGCCUAAGGUAUGUAUGGUGAUUGGGGUGAAGUCGUAACAAGGUAGCCGUAGGUGAACCUGCAGAAGGAUCA